Molecule: RNA transcript, 2327 nt
Organism: Rhineura floridana
Lineage: Eukaryota; Metazoa; Chordata; Lepidosauria; Squamata; Rhineuridae
Gene: TWIST1
Gene name: twist family bHLH transcription factor 1
Exons: 3
Source: RefSeq, a predicted model, not a curated record
UGCAACGUUUGUCCAACUCCCAGCCAGCUCCAAGGAGCCAUCGGGAGGGGAGCAGAUAGCGCCAGAGAGAUUUCCGUCGCCGUCUCCCUCCUCUCUCUCUCUCUUUCUCUCUCCCUCUCUCUUCUUUAUCUCCCCCCCCGGCUCCCGAUGGCCUCCCCCCACCCACCCAAUUGAGGCCCUCCCCCCCAAAGCCCCCACCCCUCCCCACACGCCCUGGUCGUCGUCCUCCUCCUCCCCCAUUUUCGCAGGCCAAGGAUCCAGCCAGGGGGAGCUGGCUGGUUAGGCAUCUCCUCCCCCCCUCUCCCCUCCUCCCUCGCCCCCUCAAAAGGGCCGCUCAGCGCGCUGCGGGUUGGCCCCCGAGAUGAUGCAGCAGGACGAGUCGAACUCUCCAGUCUCGCCCGCCGACGACAGCCUGAGCAACAGCGAGGAGGAGCCCGACCGGCAGCAGCAGCUUCAGGGUGCUGGGAAGCGAGGGGGACGCAAGAGGCGAUCGAGUCGCAGGAGCGCCACCGGGGCCGGUGGUGGUGGAGGAGGAGGAGGCGCAGGAGGAGGCGCCGGCGGGGGGAUCGGAUCGGCGGAGGAGCCGUGCAGCCCGGCGCAAGGCAAGCGAGGCAAGAAAUCCGGCGGGAGCGGCGGCGGCGGCAGCAGCAGCGGCGGCGGCAGCCCGCAGUCCUACGAGGAGCUCCAGACUCAGCGGGUGAUGGCCAACGUCCGGGAGCGGCAGCGCACCCAGUCGCUGAACGAAGCCUUUGCGGCGCUGCGCAAAAUCAUCCCGACCCUGCCGUCGGACAAGCUGAGCAAGAUCCAGACGCUCAAACUGGCCGCCCGCUACAUCGACUUCCUCUACCAGGUCCUGCAGAGCGACGAACUCGACUCCAAGAUGGCCAGCUGCAGCUAUGUGGCCCACGAGCGCCUCAGCUACGCCUUCUCGGUCUGGCGCAUGGAAGGAGCCUGGUCCAUGUCUGCCUCUCACUAGCGACCCGCUCCGCCCGGCCCGGCCGGAGACCGAGGUGUGUGUGUCUAUGCGUGUCCCAGAGGCGGUCGCUGGAAGGCCCUUUGAAGUGGCUAGUUAAGGAACCGCCCAAGGGCGCCGGUCCAUAGGAUCCUGCAGGGUGGGGGGGAGCCUCUCUGGUAGGGAGAAGGCCGCCAGAGCUAUGCCUCCAGUUUCGGAGAUGCUGAGGCUUGCCCGCCACUCUGACGCCUCCUUAACCUCCCGCUUCUUCCGGAGUAAGUCCCUCUGGGCUCCAGAGUGGACUAGCUUUUUCUGCACGGAAAGAACAGAAAAGUCGACAGGCGAGAGUCACACUCCUUGCCCUCUCCACCUUUCAAAUAUAUAAGGCAGCCUUUCCAAAGAAGCACGCUUAGCCCGAAGCAGUCCAUCUUGAAUGUUUUGGCCUUGUAAAGGAAUGGAUUGCCCUCUGCGGGAUGAAAGAAAGUCAGACCAGGCCGAGCGAGCGAAGCGAAUAUGAAGUCCCCCUGGGUGCCAGAGGUGUCCCACCUAGAAAGAUGACAUUGUUCCCAAAGAAGACGAGAAAAUGGACAAUCUAGAGACUCUGCACUUGGAUUCGGCUCCCCUCCUUCCCCUCUUUUUUUCUUUGUCCCCUCUCUAAGACAAUAUAAUGCCAAGGAUUUUCUUGGAAGUUCAGACACGUUCUUGGCCCGCGUUGCAAGGAGCAGGGCACGGGGAGGCCAUUCGAGGCGAGAGACCCAGGAUGGUGAGGCGGCUGGUCCAGAGCGAGAGCCGGCUGAACGGCCUGCCAGACAUCUCUGCAUUCUGAUCAAAAUCUGAACCGGUUUUAUUUUUUAUUUUUUCUAUUUUGACGAAGAAUGUUGGAAUUUAACUUUUUUUCCUUUACUUCCUUUUUUUUUGUUCUUGCAUGCAUGCAUUCCCAAGAGAGUUUAUGAGCCACUCAUGAAAGGAAAUACAUUACUGUGGACUCCCCCCCCAAUACUCUCUUUUUGAACCGAUCUAAUGACAGCGAAACAAACAAACAAAAACCAGUUAAGAAGAAGUGAGGAAGGAAAAAUCUAUUUUAAAAGGAAAAACGUUUAGGGUAGCUAUGCAUUAUUGGCUCCAGCUCUUAUAUGCAAACCUAUCCGGCUCCUCUUUCGUGUUUUAUUUUUGUUUUUUGUUUUUCCUGCAAGAAAAAAAGAGGAAAAGCGGGAGGGGGGAGAAAAAAAAUGAAACAUUCUAUUUAUUUAUUGAUGGCCCAUGUUAAAAAUGCAGAUAGAUCCGGUGUCUAAAUGCAUUCCUAUUUUUAUGAUUGUUUUGUAAAUAUCAUUGUAUAUUUUUUUCCUGCAAUAAAUCAAUUGAAUUGUUAAAGAAA